Phascolarctos cinereus (koala) is the source of this 1364-nucleotide long non-coding RNA. NCBI's taxonomy places the organism in Eukaryota, Metazoa, Chordata, Mammalia, Diprotodontia, Phascolarctidae. The record is from Ensembl.
GCUGAGAGAGAGACACACACAGAGAGAGAGAGAGAGAGAGAGAGAGAGAGAGAGAGAGAGAGAGAGAGAGAGAGAGAGAGAGAGAGAGAGAGAGAGAGAAAGAGAGAGAGAGAGAGAGAGGGAGAGAGAGCGUAGGAGAGCAGGAAAGAAUCCCUUGCUCUCUAUUUAGUAUUUAAAAAUAGAAAGGAAAAGAGCCUAGUUUGAAUUUGAGAUAAUGCUGGGCUGCUUUGUGAAUGCUCUUACAGUGUAUCUCCUUCCAAACAAAUUGGGCCAAGGGUACAAAGCUCUCUUUCUUGUGUGCUCACAAACCUGUUUUUAAUGGCUCGUGUGGCACUGGUUUGGCCCCUGAGCAGUAAUGAACCACUCUACAAGUCACCACAUGCAAGGCAGACAUGAAUCUCCCAGGGAAGAAAAUGCUCUAACAUGAAUUGGUUUUAAUCCAAGAGAUCUUGGUCAUCCAGAUUUUCCCAGUUUGAGAAGGAGUAAUCACUUUCCACGGUUUUUGGCAUACUGAAAGCCCAUAAUAAUGGCACUAAGGGACACAUAUGAGCUAUUUUCAGGUGAAUUUCGAGGAGCAAUGGUAAGGAUUGAAGAAGUGGUUUCCUGAUCAUGGCAGCAAGACUUCUCUGAAGACUCCAUUAUUUCCUCCCUUGGGAGGGGCAGAUACUACCUGGUUGAUCAGAGACAAGUUUGACCAUUAAACUAUUUCCCUGGCAUGAAGAAUCUGACCAUUCUGGGACAAGAUGACCCACUAUCAAAGCAGUAGGAGAAACACUGAGGUCAAUAAGCCAGCAUCCCUCUUUUGAUUAAAGCCUAGACAAACCUACUAAAGGUAGAAGCAAGUAUUAUUCUGAAAGGGCUGUGGGCCAUCUGAUGACAGAAAAGGUUAAGCCACAGUGUCCACGUUGGUUCCUGCCAUCCCACAGUUGUGUCACCGCUAUGAAAUGCCAUCAUUUUAGACUUGGUGAGAUCUUGAAAAGCAGCUGCAGUCUUCCAUCCCUUCCAAGCACCCUCACAGAAGAGAAGAGAGAGUGCCCAAGCAUCGUCAUGAAUGGGCUGCAUUAAGGUAGAGACUAUGGAAGUAGUUACAGUAAUAAGAGCAGCAGCAGAAAGGUCACAAGGGAAAGAGGAGCCAGCACAGAGAGAACCCAGCAGAAGGUUGCAUUUGGAUGUUUGACUGGCCAAUGACAUGUAAAAUGCCUAAUUAGCAGUUUUUCAAGCACUAUUUAUAUUCCAAGGCUUAAGUUUUGACCUCCCAACUGAUUAUACUAGUAGGAAUGUUAUAUGAAUUGGAUUCUAAUCACCUGUCAUAUGUGCUGAGACCUCAUUUCUGUGUGGAAAUAAAAGGACUUCUUCUAUACCUA